AGCCUAAAUUCAUCCAUCUUUUCGUCUUCCACCAACCUGUAACUCUUCCUACGUUAAGAUUUUUUUCCUCUUCCAAAUCAAUCGACACACAAAUCUCGAAUUCAAUCGAUAGUCAUCGGCGGUUUCGAACACCGACCAAUCAUAAAUCUCCACAACCUUUAACACUCCACCUUCUCCUACUUAAACAGAUGCUAUAUGGGUGUUUCAAAAAAAAAAAAAAAAGUGUUUCAAAAAAAAAAAAACAGAUGCUAUAUGGAAUCUGAAACAACCCUAUCAUAUUAAGAAUUCCCCUCACUGUCCUAUUUAUAUCGUCUCCCAUCCAAAGAGAACCAGAAUAGAUUGAUCUACCAAUAAUCCAAAAUCACUCGAAGAUCAGGUGUUUAUCCUCAUCUUCAUACUUCCUUAUGUAUUGUCGUGGUCAUCUAAAAUUUAAUUUAUUCAGAUACAGUGAGAUUUGUGUAUGGGCUGCCAUGAAGAGAGAAUUAUUCACCGAAGCUUUUGCAAUGCUUUACGGUUGGGAUGAGAGCUAUACAGCGGCAACUUCAACAAUCUCCGUAUUGAAUGAGAUAUAAAAAAUCUCACGGAACAGCACUACUACAACUCAUUUGCUUAAAGCAGCACUCAAUGCAGUCCAUUAUGGGCAUGGCGGACUUCAGCUAAUUGUUGUCAGUUCGGUUAUGAACAUUCUAAUCACAUCAGAAUCAGGCGGUAAGACUGAGCAAUUCAUGAACAUGCUCCCGAUCAAUCCCUCCGCUAGCGUCAGAUGCGAUGAAGUCCUGGGCUUUAGCCAUCUCUGGUGUCCUUUUAGCCACAGCGGAGAUCGCAUUCUUCCAAGGAUGUCUCGCUUGGCUAUCGUUAGGCUAUACAAUAUACAUCCCCUUUAUCGGUGGACGGACUAUGUUUCCUUCUACUCUCGAGGGAGGAAUAAUGGGACUGUUGAUAACAACGGUGGUGAUUGCGUUGAAGGAUCUGUAUGCAGAGUUUGUUUUGAAUGAUCCCAAGAAGACCAAUUAGCUGUUGUGGGUUUCUUUAGUCGGAGCUUUCAAGUGCUGUCAUGGCUGCUGCUUUGUAUUGUGAGAAGGAUCAUGUAGAUCAGUCGAGAAAAAUAAAUAUUAUAAAUUGUUUAUGGUUUUAAUUUAGUCUUUUUCUUUGGAAUGUUAUGUAGUGUACAGCGAGAGAUGUGUAGUAUGAAAUUUCAAUUGUUAUGUUAUAUUGUAUGUGAUCUGAAUC
This is a long non-coding RNA of Brassica oleracea var. oleracea, 1230 nucleotides long. RefSeq lists it as uncharacterized. The record is from RefSeq and is a predicted model, not a curated record. Lineage: Eukaryota; Viridiplantae; Streptophyta; Magnoliopsida; Brassicales; Brassicaceae. The transcript is spliced from 7 exons.